AAUGGGGGCAACCCUGAUCUAGCCAUGCCGCGUGAGUGAUGAAGGCCUUAGGGUCGUAAAGCUCUUUCGCCUGUGAUGAUAAUGACAGUAGCAGGUAAAGAAACCCCGGCUAACUCCGUGCCAGCAGCCGCGGUAAUACGGAGGGGGUUAGCGUUGUUCGGAAUUACUGGGCGUAAAGCGCGCGUAGGCGGAUUAGAAAGUUGGGGGUGAAAUCCCGGGGCUCAACCCCGGAACUGCCUCCAAAACUGCUAGUCUAGAGUUCGAGAGAGGUGAGUGGAAUUCCGAGUGUAGAGGUGAAAUCCGUAGAUAUUCGGAGGAACACCAGUGGCGAAGGCGGCUCACUGGCUCGAUACUGACGCUGAGGUGCGAAAGUGUGGGGAGCAAACAGGAUU
This 392-nucleotide ribosomal RNA is filed under the name uncultured Gammaproteobacteria bacterium. RNAcentral describes it as "bacterial SSU rRNA". It matches the Rfam family "Bacterial small subunit ribosomal RNA", at positions 370 to 779 of the family's 1533-position model. The record is from RNAcentral. Lineage: Bacteria; Pseudomonadati; Pseudomonadota; Gammaproteobacteria.